RNAcentral lists this small RNA (591 nucleotides) under Histoplasma capsulatum. RNAcentral describes it as "hypothetical RNA". RNAcentral also lists the same sequence under 1 other name. Lineage: Eukaryota; Fungi; Ascomycota; Eurotiomycetes; Onygenales; Ajellomycetaceae. The record is from RNAcentral.
AAAAGGACAUUAGCUAGCUCAGCAAGGAGCAGCUUAGCCAGCGGCACCCUACCUACCGCUUCCAAUCAUGCCCAUCCAUUCGCCCACCUGGUGGAAUCUUAUCAGCAUCAGGCCUCAUCGAACCAUCCUUUCUUUUUAGACGAGGGCAAUCUGUUCAUGUCAACCUCUCUCGAAACUCCUCGCGGACACGCCACGCCUCUUAGUUAGUGAUGGGAUUGGCAUUAAGAGGCGAUAUAGUCCCCGUUCUGCUGAAAUAAUAUCAUGAGUAGAUUCGGGUUUGCAGGGCUACUUGCGUUAAAUUGUUGGAGAAAGAUUUCAUCACUCCUUGCAGAUUAAAAUUGUAUCAGACUACAGAUGAUCCAUCUGAGAGAAGGGUAAGCUUUCUCUCUCGUUUUAUCUCAGGAGUCAAGCUUCGGUCCAAUUUUCAGCUAUCAAGCCAUCCAUAGUUCCGGAUGAAUGAAUCGAUGUAAUUGCCUAUAUGCGUAUAUGUUUCUAUGGGCAGUGGCAGCCCUAUGUGGAAACAAUAUGUCAAUGGGAAUGGUACUCUUUUGUUUUUGAUCUGAGAGAGUAAAAAGGGACAAAUAUAAGUAC